This is a small nucleolar RNA of Sorex araneus (European shrew), 214 nucleotides long. RefSeq annotates it as small nucleolar RNA U3. The record is from RefSeq and is a predicted model, not a curated record. The transcript has a single exon. Lineage: Eukaryota; Metazoa; Chordata; Mammalia; Eulipotyphla; Soricidae.
CAGACAAUAUUUUCAGAGAUCAUUUCAAUAGUUCAGUACUAGAGAAGUUUCUCUGAUCCUGUGAAGCAUCCAAAACCACAAGGAAAAGCCAGAGCAUUCUCUCUGUGUGUGAAGCCUGUUCUAGGAAUUGCUUUUGAAACUUGCCUUUUGUCACUGAUGAUCAUUCUUUUCUUCCUUUGGAAGAGUGUGAGUGAAAAAAUUUAGUUUGAGUGGU